RNAcentral lists this non-coding RNA (247 nucleotides) under Lachnospiraceae bacterium. RNAcentral describes it as "T-box sequence". It matches the Rfam family "T-box leader". Rfam says of the family: Uncharged tRNA acts as the effector for transcription antitermination of genes in the T-box leader family. T-boxes are found upstream of many aminoacyl-tRNA synthetase genes and some amino acid biosynthetic genes usually in Gram-positive bacteria. Lineage: Bacteria; Bacillati; Bacillota; Clostridia; Lachnospirales; Lachnospiraceae. The record is from RNAcentral.
GCAAAUGCAAGGAAGAGGAGUAGUAGCUGAAAGCUGGAAAACAGAGAACUGCCGGGUGGUGCGAGGCAGUCUGAAGCGGACCGUGAACUGACCUUGGAGCAGCCGGCUGAAGACCCGAAGGGUUGUGUAGGUUCGGACGGAAUACCCGCCGUAGAAAGGGGAAAGGCAUGUUAGUGCUGAUGAGUGCAUGGUUUUUAUUACCAUGAAAUAGAGUGGUACCGCGUGAAGUUGAAUUUGCGUCUCUAUA